RNAcentral lists this small RNA (1790 nucleotides) under Pan troglodytes (chimpanzee). RNAcentral describes it as "processed transcript". Lineage: Eukaryota; Metazoa; Chordata; Mammalia; Primates; Hominidae. The record is from RNAcentral.
CGGCAAUUCAUGAAUGUGACACUUCUCGGCCAUUUCUGUGUUUUGGCAGAGCAGACAUCAUCCUAGAGGACAGGAAAUAUCUGAUUUCUGGAUUAUCUAGAACCUUUCCCAGGCCAUCUCAUCUGGCGCAGGACUGCAGCUGAAUAUGUAAAAUCUCGACUCCCAGAGGCCCUUAAACAGCAUCUUCAGGACUACGAGAAAGACAAAGAAAAUAGUGUAUUGUCUUACCAGACCAUCCUUGAACAGCAGAUUUUGUCAAUUGACCGAGAAAUGCUAGAAAAAUUGACUGUAUCCUAUGAUGAAGCAGUGCUUUUCAGCAUAUGAUUGAACGUACUCAAGAAGGGUCAUGGUUAGUUCAGCAAGCUGAUUUCAACAUUUGGUGAUUGUCUCCAGUUAAUGAGCUAUACAUAUGAUGUCCGCUUUUAUUUUCAUCAUCAUAAACCACAGAAAAAAGGGGAAACAGUAUACCAGCAAGUCAGCAAGUCCAAAUCAAGCCAUGACUCAGAUUUCCUAAGGAAGAAAAGAUCAGACUCUGCUUUGACAUAUUCUAUCUUAAAUUUUGAAAUUACUUUGGGGACAACAUUAAUUAUCCAGGCACAACGUGUUUGAUUGCUCUGCUAUCAGAUAAAGACCUCACGGUGGCCAACGUGGGUGACUCGCGUGGGGUCCUGUGUGACAAAGAUGGGAACGCUAUUCCUUUGUCUCAUGAUCACAAGCCUUACCAGUUGAAGGAAAGAAAGAGGAUAAAGAGAGCAGGUGGUUUCAUCAGUUUCAAUGGCUCCUGGAGGGUCCAGGGAAUCCUGGCCAUGUCUCGGUCCCUGGGGGAUUAUCCGCUGAAAAAUCUCAACGUGGUCAUCCCAGACCCAGACAUCCUGACCUUUGACCUGGACAAGCUUCAGCCCGAGUUCAUGAUCUUGGCAUCAGAUGGUCUCUGGGAUGCUUUCAGCAAUGAAGAAGCAGUUCGAUUCAUCAAGGAGCGCUUGGAUGAACCUCACUUUGGGGCCAAGAGCAUAGUUUUACAGUCAUUUUACAGAGGCUGCCCUGACAAUAUAACAGUCAUGGUGGUGAAGUUCAGAAAUAGCAGCAAAACAGAAGAGCAGUGAACCCUUCAGGGGUCUCAGCUGCCUUAGACUAAAGGACUUUCAACACACUGGUCUCUUUUAAUUUAGUGAAAAGUGUGGGAGUUGUAAUUAGGAUCAUCCAUCCCAGACAUGGAAUUCCCCCUCCCUGGUGGUCUUAGGUCUAUAAUCAGUGACGAACAGAGGGUGCCCUUGGCCAAUGUAGUUAAGAAACUGGAAAAUGGUUUCUUCAUGUUUUCCCAACUCUUUCAUCCAGUGUCCAAAAUAUAUAAGUAAAUAGCUGUAGGGUCACGUAUAUGAAGUGAAUAGCAUACGUGUCAUUUAGUCUCCCUGAAGAUUCUUUUCAAGAUCCUGUUCAGGGUCCUCCAGGCAUCAGCUGUUGUGUCCUCUCUUUGGAACAGUGGACAGGACAGACCACCCAGUGCUGCAGGAGACAGGCCACUGCGUCACCUGUGAGUGGUCAGGGGCUGAUGUGGCAACACCCUCUGCCAAGAGACAGAGCUGUCCUAAGAAUGCUUUGUCCUUCUGAGCCCAUGUUUUCUGCUCAGUAGCAGCUUGGAAGCAGAUUUGGAAUGGUUUAUUAUUUUGGCUGCUCUUGGGGACUGCGAGAAGCAGAGAGAAUGGGAGACCAGUGGCAACUGCCUGCACAGCAGAAAUAACCCUUUUCCCUUGCUUCCUUUAAUAGUUAAAUAGACUUUGUAUACCACCUGA